RNAcentral lists this long non-coding RNA (435 nucleotides) under Homo sapiens (human). RNAcentral's name for it is "non-protein coding lnc-PCDHGA1-4:1". Lineage: Eukaryota; Metazoa; Chordata; Mammalia; Primates; Hominidae. The record is from RNAcentral.
GCGAGAACUUGUUUUUCCGGGAUGGAAAUGACAGUGUUUCGGAAGAGCUGUUGGUUUCAAACUAUUUAGAGCUUGGAAGUUCCAAGAAAGACACAGAUUCGUCCCCCGCUAAGCCAGCACUUUUACGGGAUCGCUGUGGGGCCGGAUGGCUUCUAGACUUCCGGGUGAUUCCGGGAGAUGGGGGACGCCUUGCAGUAAGCGUCUUUGCUUCUGGAAACAUCUCGGAUGUUCCCUAGAGUCUAGCCUAUCUGGUGCCAAUACAAGAAUGUGUAGCUACUAUACAAUGGAUUUCAAAGUACCCAAAUCAAUGGAGUGAGGAGGACAUGCAGCUUACUAUAUAAGUCUCUCUCUAUAUAUAUGUUUGUUUGUUUGUUUUGGAGAUGGAGUCUCAGGCUGUCACCCAGGCUAGAGUGCAGUGGCACAAUAUUGGCUGAC